This 292-nucleotide ribosomal RNA is filed under the name uncultured bacterium. RNAcentral's name for it is "partial 16S ribosomal RNA". It matches the Rfam family "Bacterial small subunit ribosomal RNA", at positions 505 to 796 of the family's 1533-position model. The record is from RNAcentral.
GUGUCAGCCGCCGCGGUAAUACGGAGGAGGCAAGCGUUAUCCGGAAUUAUUGGGCGUAAAGCGUCCGUAGGUGGAUGUUCAAGUCUUCUGUCAAAGCGCGGAGCUUAACUCCGUAAAGGCAGAGGAAACUGAGCGUCUAGAGUGCGAUAGGGGCAAGGGGAAUUCCCAGUGUAGCGGUGAAAUGCGUAGAUAUUGGGAAGAACACCGGUGGCGAAAGCGCCUUGCUGGGUCUGCACUGACACUGAGGGACGAAAGCUAGGGGAGCGAAAGGGAUUAGAUACCCCCGUAGUCC